Molecule: transfer RNA, 71 nt
Filed under: Loxodonta africana (African savanna elephant)
Lineage: Eukaryota; Metazoa; Chordata; Mammalia; Proboscidea; Elephantidae
Rfam family: tRNA
About the family: Transfer RNA (tRNA) molecules are approximately 80 nucleotides in length. Their secondary structure includes four short double-helical elements and three loops (D, anti-codon, and T loops).
Source: Rfam by way of RNAcentral
AUACUGGUGGUUCAGUGGUAGAAUUCUUGCCUUCCACGCAGGAGACCCAGGUUCUAUUCCUGGCCAAUGAA